Regulatory RNA element from Roseburia sp. CAG:18, 182 nucleotides. It matches the Rfam family "Lysine riboswitch aptamer". Rfam says of the family: Riboswitches are metabolite binding domains within certain messenger RNAs that serve as precision sensors for their corresponding targets. Allosteric rearrangement of mRNA structure is mediated by ligand binding, and this results in modulation of gene expression. This family includes riboswitches that sense lysine in a number of genes involved in lysine metabolism, including lysC. NCBI's taxonomy places the organism in Bacteria, Bacillati, Bacillota, Clostridia, Lachnospirales, Lachnospiraceae. The record is from Rfam.
ACAUGGGAUAGAGGUCGCGUAAUUCAUGAGUAGCCUGUUGGAUGUGGCAGACACAGUCGAAUGCAGGUAAAAGGGGAAAGCGCCGAAAGAACCGGAUGACUGCAGUCUGGUUUUUGGGCAUGCGGUGAAUAAUCGUAUGACUGUCAGAAGCGUAUGAGCGUGGAUGGAGAGCUAUCAGAUCU